UGUUUAUGGACAUCUUAAACUGAAAAACGGGGAAGUGAGGAAUUGCAAGGAGCCCAAAACAGGAAACGCGGAGACCAAGAAGGCAAAUGCGUGGAGUCGACCGGAGAGUCUGGAUGUUCAGUGCCGGCAGCAUCAACCGCCCAGGGGCCAUUCCAGCCUUCCUGCGGACCCCCACUGUGAUGCAGCCACACCUGGACAUGAAGCCCUUCCUACAGUUUCCGCUGGAAACUCCGCACUCCGCCGGGAUUUUCCCCAACUUCGCUGCUAUGGACCCCAUCCAGAAGGCCGUGAUUAACCACACGUUUGGUGUUCCGCUGAUUAAGACCAAAAGGCCGGUCAUUUCCUGCAACGUCUGCCAGAUCCGCUUCAACUCAGAGAGCCAGGCUGAGGCCCACUAUAAAGGAAAUCGGCAUGCACGACGGGUCAAAGGGAUCGAGACCUCCAAAUGCCGUCCAAAGGAUGCCGAGAAGCCCAAGUCUACUACCUCUUCCUCCACCUCAAACCCUGUGAAAAGUCACCCAAGCAGCAAGAUGGACCCAGUCCGACCAGAUGACCAGCAGCCGCUCCAGAGGCAGAACGGACCUUCACUAGCCCCCCGUCCGCUUGCAAUGGCCACAGGUCUACAAGACUCAUCCAGCAUCGCUCCUCUCCCCUUGAUACCAGCAUCCAGAGCAAGUGGCACCAUCACAGUGCCCACACACCCACUGGUCAAAGCAUCACACUCAGAAUUCAAUGUUGGCAUCACCAACGGUACCCUCGCCCCCACCAGCUCUUCUUCUCCUGCCACCAGCCCUGAAUCUGAAGAGGAUAAAGCCAAGAAACUGCUCUACUGCUCCUUGUGCAAAGUGGCCGUCAACUCUCUGUCUCAGCUGGAGGCGCAUAACAAGGGUACCAAACACAAAACGAUCCUAGAGGCCCGUAGUGGACUGGGGCCCAUCAAGGCAUACCCUCGGCUGGGUCCGAAAUUGACCUCUGAACAGGGAGGUGGGACCCCCGACCCCAACGCUCAGGAGAGGACCUUCCACUGUGAGAUCUGCAAUGUCCGUGUCAAUUCUGAGGUGCAGCUCAAACAGCACAUUUCAAGUCGCCGACAUCGUGAUGGCGUCGCAGGGAAACCGAAUCCUCUUCUCAGUCGGCAUAAGAAGCAAAGAAUAGGUGAUGCUACGUCAGCACUGUCGUUCCCAAAGGACCUCCCGAAGGCUCUGGGUGCCGGACUGCUCCCCAGUCCUCUGGCUGUUGCCUCGUUGAUGGCGGCCGCUGCCUCCUCUUCUCCACUGGCUCUGCGGGCUCCACCACCCCCCACCACCCACCUCCUGCAGGGACCACCCCUUACCCACACCCUCCUAAGGCCUGCCCCUGGGCCCAUCCGCACGUCACAUGGGCCCAUCCUGUUUUCACCCUACUGAUGACAUCGGCAGCGGCGGCGGCGGCAGCAGCAGCAGAAGCACUUCCAAAAAAAAAAAGCACACUGUGAAACAUCUCAAAAAAAAAAAAAAAUAAUAAUAAUAAUAAUAAUAAUGUAUUUAAGAACAACAAGAAGAAGAGCAAUGCAGGAAUAAGCGAGCUUCAUUCCACAGCCAUUCAUCGCCGAGGACACUCUACUCCCCUCCACAGCCACUGCUGCUCCCUAACACCAAUAAUGGCUGGGCGUGGUGGAAUUUGGAGGGUGGUGAGGGGGGGGGGGGGGGGGGUGCGCACUGUAAAGUAAAUAAACCGCAUGCUCGCAACCACCGGAGGAAAGCCAUUUAUCUUCAGAAGCCGACCUCAACCUUGUGGACAAUCACUGCGGGGGGCGGCCUCAGUGACCACCGAGCAGCAGAAAAGAGGAAACUGGCGAAAAAGGUCUCAGGGGCCACAAGAAAUGUCCCCUUCCAAGGUUCCUGUUUUGUGACCCACAUCCCAUGAGUCUUCGCCUUCCCUCCUCAUCAAGUCUUCUUGUGGACCCCCAAACUCCUGUAAGGAGGUGUGAAAACUCAGCAAAGGAUAUUUUUGUAUUGGACAUGAUGCUGCAUGUGGUGGUGAGGGGGGGGGGGGGUCAACACCCCAGACUCACUGUAAAAUAGAAACCCAUUUAUGCACUAAAAGGACAGAAAGUAGCAGUUUGGAGCAGCCAAUCGGUGACUGAUGUUCUCCGAUAACCAAGUGGCUCAUCAGCAAUACAACAACACACACCAUUCACUUUAAGAGAUCUUAACUCCAUAGGUACACAGGAGGCUGGCAGAGGGUCAGCCACCGGGUUAGGGACAGGCGCAUCAUGACAAAUCAAUGACUAGAAGUCAAGUGGGUGGCUUGAAGGUGCCAACGAGAACAGUUCACACCUAGCAGGGACACCUUGGACCCCCACUUCUUCCCCAUUUCCAUUUUUCCUGUCCACUGUGAAUACAACUGAACUGGCUACACGGUAGAGGAGACACCAGAGGAGGAGACAAAUAUAUGUUGGAAUCAUCAAGUCAAAGAGAACCUGCAUGGACUGUAUGAGCCACAAGACCACAGUUGUGGUGAAGGUCAUUCUUACAGGUCACAUCUCGGUCGCAUAGGAGAAGAAACAAAUCACAACCGUGUUGAGUAAUGCUGGGAGAAACUCUAACCAGAAGUAGAUUCCCUCAUAGAACCAUAGGAGGAAACACUUCAGAGUUAACAGCACCGACAAAUCGGCUUCAUCAAAGAAAUUGGAAAUGUUUCCAGGAAGUUCUUCACUGGGGACAACUGAAGUGGAAACAGCCAGUGGGGCACAGAAGAAGGAAAGCAUUUCCCACCUAAUCCUGUGUCACACAAAACAGGCACGGAGAAAUGACUUGGGAAAAUGGAAGUGGAAGCAGCUAGAGGGAAACAAAACAGGCACAGAGAAAUGACUUGGGAAAAUGGAAGUGGAGGCAGCUAGAGGGAAACGGAACAAGAAAUGUACCUCAGUUACUCCGGAGUCAUACCAAAACAGAUGGGAAAGGACUUGGGGGGAAAUGAAAUGGAAGCAGAACAAAGAAAUGGCAUCCCAGUUAAUCCAGAGUCGCAGCAGCUAUAAGGAGACAGAAACAGGAAAUGACUUGCUAAAAGUGAAGUGGAACCAACUAGUGGGAAGAAGAAUGAGAAAUGCAUCCCAGUUAAUCCUGAGUCACACCAAAGAAGAAAAGGGGAAAUGAUUUGGAAAAACUGAAGUGGAAACAACUAGAGAUUAAAAAAAGCAAGAAAUGUAUCCCAGUUAAUCCUGAGUCACACCAAAAUGGAAUGGGAAAAUGGGAAAUGACUUGGGACAACUGAAGUGGAAACUGUUAUAGAGAAACGGUGGAUGAAAUAUGGCCCAGUGAAUCUGGAGUCACACCACUUGUGAAGAGUCCAGAAAUGGGAAAUCACGUCCAAGUGAAUGCACAUCAGGAAAAUAGGGAAAGGGACGUACAGUUGAACCUCAUUCACGUGAGGAGAAGCAAGACGAUGCCUGUCCCAGGAACCUGUUUAUCAUCCCACAUAUUCAGGAAACUCUUCCUAGUUACAAGUCUUCAGAUAAGCUGGGAGGAAACAGGAAAUAGCAAAAUGAAAAUAGUGACUUAGUCUGCAUGGAGCAACAUGGGAGAGAGGAAACACUUCCUAGUUCCUUCAUAUACCAAACAAACUGAGCAAUUUAGGAAAGUAAAUGAGCCCCAGCUAGACAUUAUUGAAUGCCAGGAAACAAGAGAGGAAGCACUUCCCAGUUACACAUCAGUCAGAUCCUCUAAAAACAGGAAUGGACUCCCAUUUAUAAAUCUGUUGUUAAAAAAAAACAACAGGAAAUGUAGGAAAUGUGUUAGGAAGCGUUUCCCACUUUUGACAUCUUCAGCCUAGCUGCGGAAGAUAACUGAAAAAAUUAAAUCGAAGGGGCUCAGGAAUUGCUUCCCAGUUGGUCUUCAGUCCCUCCAGCUUUAAGGAGACAAGAAAUGGGGAAUGAAUUCCAACAUACGCACGUCAAGAAAACUGAGAAAGAGAAAUAUUUUACAGCUGUGCCUCAGUCAUAUACGGAAAAGGAUAGGGCAUACAGUAUGUCCCAGGUACAUACAUACCUACAUUCCACCUGCUGUGGAAACUAUUCCAAGUUACAAGUGAGCAGAUCGGCUAAAGGGAAAUAUGAAAUAGCUAAAUCCAAAAGAAAGGCCAAAUGAACAGGAAAAAAAGAGUCCUACACAUACUGGAUUUAAUCCACAUUUAACGAAACAGGAGAGGAAACUCCCAGCUCCCUCUUAUUCUAAAAAAAAAUUGAAAGAAAGAAAAUAAAUCUCACUUACAAAUUAGUAAAUAUGACUACAGAGAAAAGAAGAGAGGAAACACUUCCCAGUUACCCCACAAAUAAAUGAAGUACCCCAUCAUUUAGGAAAAAUGUAAAAGACAGAAGUGAAAAACGCUAACUAGUGGGAAGCAGAAGAAGAAAUGCAUACCAGUUAAAUCCUGCACCAAACCAGGAAACAAGAAACCGGAAGUGACUUCCAGGUGUUUGCCCUUCAGGGAAACCGGGAAUGGAAACACAUUACAGUUUAGGGAAAGAGGAGAGGGCACAUGUCCUGAGAAGAACUCAAGGAAGCUCUUCCAUAGCUACAAGUCAGCAGAUCAGCUCCUUGGAAAUGCCAACAGAAAAGGGAAAUGAAGAAGGAAACGAUUUCCACAAAAAUGUGACUUGGCUUACAUAUAAUAACAUAACAUAGGAGGGAGAAACACUUCCCAGCACCCAAACUGAAGGAGCCAGGGAAGAAAAUAAGUUUCAGCAAGACAUUAAGGAGCAUGAGGAGAGAAGACGGGAAGCCCUUCCUGGUUACACUUCUGUCAGGAAAAGAGGAAUAAACUCACAUUAACAAAUUUUUUUGGUAAAAAACUCUUGCCACUCUGGAAGUCAUUAGUAUGACUAUGGAAGAUAACUGGAGAAAAAUGCAUUGAAGGGGAAAAAGGAAAUGCUUCCCCAUUAGUCUUACAUCCCACCAGCUGUAAGGAGACAAGAAGUGGGAAGUGACUUCCCAGAAAGAGUUGUGCCUCAUUCGUGUAGGAAAUAAGGCAAAGGCAUAUGUGCUGGAUGCAUUUCCAUCAUCCCACCUAUUGAAGAAACUCUUCUCAGCUCCAAGUCAGCAGAUCAGGAAAUGGACAAGAGCUCGAUCCAAAUGAAAAGGAAAAGCAAGAAGAAAAGGAUCUCUACUCAGACAUGAUUUACACCCGAUAUAGCAACAGAGGAGUGGAAACUGUCACAAUACGGACUCUAUGAACGUGUGACACACUUGACAGCUUCAUCUUGUUCUAAACAAAACGAUGGAACCAGGAAAGGAAAUGAGUCCCAGCUAGACAUUAGUUAAAGUGACCUACAAGGAAACAUGAGUGGAAAUGCAUCCUCAGUCAAACCAUCUCGUGGAAAAUAGAAAAUAGAGGGUAUUUACAAAUCUGUUUAUAAAAAAACCAUAGCAGGAAAUGAUUUAGAAAUCAGUUCCCACUUUUGUGUCCAUCAGUGUGGUUAUGGAAGAAAACUGGAGGAAAACACAUAACAGGGGCAAAGGAAAUGCACUCCUGGUUAAUCUUAAAUCCUUCCAGCCGUAGAGAGACAAGAAAUGGGAAAUGACUUCCAGAUGUUUGAACUUCGUGGAAACUGGGAAUGGGGAAUACUUUACAGGUGUGUCUCAUUCACAUUGGGAAAAAGGGGAGCACACCAGUCCUGAGUACACAUCCCAGCUACAAGUCAGCAGAUCAGGGAAACGGGAAGUAGCUCAUUCCAAAACAAAAUGGAAAUUGAGAAGAAAAUGGGUUCUAUACUAGCAACAUAGCUUCCUAGCUUGUUCUUGUGGAAAACAGAUUGAGAGAACCAGGAAAGGAAAUAAGACCCAGCUAGACAUUUGUGCAUAUAAGGAAACACGAGAGCAGUCAGGCCAUCUCAUGGAAACUAGGAUACAGCUUAUACUGUAUUUACAAAUCUGUUUUUUUUUUUUUUUUUUUUUAAAAAGCUGGCAGGAAAUGUUUUAGGAAGCGUUUCCCACUUUUAUCCCAUUCAUUGCGGUUCUCAAAGGUAACUGAAGGGAAACGCAAUGAAGGAGCAAAGGAAACGCCUCCUUGUUUGUCUUCAGUCCCACCAGCUGGGAGGAGACAAGAAAUGGGAAAUGACUUCCAAUGUUUGCACUUUGUGGAAACUGGGAAUGGGAAAUAGCUUAAUGUUUUAGGAAGUGCUUCCCACUGUUGUGUCAUUCAGUGUGGCCCUGAAAGAUCACUGGAGAAAAACACAUUGUAGGGCGCACAGGAAAUGCUUCCCAGUUAUUUCUCCGUCUCUUUGGCUAUUGAGGAAAAUAAGAGCUAAAACUUCGCGGUAGACUGGAGGAAGGCGGGAGGCGAGCUAGAAAUUUCUAAUAAGACAGACUACAUCUGGAAACAAGAAGCAGAAAGUGUGAAAACAGAUUACUUAGUGUUAAAUUCCAGUGGAAGAGUAGCUGGGAUGCAGGAGAUGAAUCUCUUUCAGGUCCCCAUCUCAGUCUAAUAAGUCCAAGGGAAAGACGGAAUGCAUCCCAAUGACAAUAAGCAAGUGGGAAAUAGGUUAGGAAAUAUGUCCUAGUCGUAGCUCUGCCAGUUCAGUCAUAGUGGAAACUGGGGAAAUUGCAUGGAAGCAGAGGAGGAAUGGCUGCACCUUAGUCAGUUUGAAUUAGAAGAAAACAUUUUCCGGUUUGAGAGAAAAUGGUGGGAAACAAGGAAUGGGAAGAAAACACUUCCCGGUUAUACCUCAGUGAAUUUAACUCAGGGCAAGAGAAAAAAGGGAAUUGCAGGGAGGGGGGUGGGGGAGAGUGGGAAGCAGGAAAGAAAACAACUUCCCAGCUAUACUGCUGUCGAUUUUAUUAUAGCAGAGGAAGUGACAGGAAAGAAGUCCGAAAACAACAAUCUUAUUACAUGCCGUUUAUAUCAUCCAUCCAUGCAUCCAUUUUCAGACCUGCUUAUUCUGAGCAGGGUGGUAAGGUAGCUCAUCCCAGCAAGUAUCAGUCAGGAGUUACACGUGGACCAGGCACCAGUCAUUCAUACCAGCUUAGACAGAAAGGGUGAGGAAUCCUCCAUUUCAAAUCAUAAGGAAAACUUAAUGGGAAACAGCAGAGGAGGAGCUAUGAAGUGAGCGUAAAGAAGCGGUUGACACAGAGCUGCCAGUUUCUUGGGUCCCUCAGCCUAGUGGUGUAUUGAGCAUCUUUUGGCCUUUAUCAGUUCAUCUGUCCAGGGGUUCUACAAGAAUGUUGUCCCAUUCGGAAAUGGUGGCCUGCAACAAAUUUGACAGGAGAGGAAGUGGGAUUUGGUGUACAGGGCUGCAAACAACAUGUCAAAAAUUGAAAUUGUACAUAGAAAGUUCUACGUACUCCAAAACCAAAUUAAAAACCAGCAUGGGCCAAAAAUUCAAGAACAAGUCGGAUAUCCCAAGAAACAUCAUCUUCCUAAUGGCCUAAAAAUAUUCCUGACAUCCAACAGGCAAUCACCCCUGGGUUCAAAAUAAGUGGGAGGUAGGAAGAAGACACACACACACACCCACACACACACCCCUCGGACUGAUGAGCAUGUAAAAAAAUACCAUAGAAUUGCCAGUGUGGAAAAGAGUGGGAAACACUUCCUCUCCAUCAGUGAAACUGCAUGGAAGAGCACAGGAAGCAGUUCCCACCCACACUUUAGUCAGUUCAACUAUUGAGGGGAGAUAAAGGCCACGAAAAAACUUAACAGUUGUAGCUGCAUGAGGUUUACUAGGGAGAAAUGGGAAACCUAAGAGGAAAGGUUAGAAACACAAAAUGGGGAAUGAGUUCAGUGAGUUCAGGAGGGAAGGAAGGACUCAGGGCUUGAAAGUGAAAUGGAAAUAGGCAAAGGUUAGGAAACUCUUCCUGGCUCCACCUCACCUAUUAUGACUGAUAAAGGAAGAUGAACCAAAGGAGGACAUUUGAAAAACUCGGAGUAAUCUGCAAUUAUGGAGACACAAGUGGAGACACUUCCUCCACAGAAGGCUCGGCUCUACAGUAAUCCUCAAGCUCCACUUGUCCCCAUUUUCAUGUCUCCGAAGAGGAUCCAGGAAUCUGCUGACUACUGGCAGAAAGGUUCCAGCUAGUGUUGACAAGACUGCAGACAAGGAGAGCGCCACCUAGAGUGUGAAGGAGGGCGGGUGGAGGACAAGGGCGGCAGCUGUUGUUAGUACCACAGAUGAGGACAGCGCCACCUAGAGUGUGGAUUGGGGGUGGGAGACGAGGACAGCAGCUCUUGUUAGUGCCACAGAUGAGGACAGCACCACCUAGAGUGUGGAGGAGGGCAGGUGGAGGACAAGGGCGGCAGCUGUUGUUAGUACCACAGAUGAGGACAGUGCCAUCUAGAGUGUGGAUUGGGGGUGGGAGAUGAGGACAGCACCUCUUGUUAGUGCCACCGAUUUGGACAGCGCCACCUAGAGUGUGGAUUGGGGGUGGGAGAUUAGGACAGCAGCUCUUGUUAGUGCCACCGAUGAGGACAGCACCACCUAGAGUGUGGAGUUGGGGUGGGAGAUGUGGACAGCAGGUCUUGUUAGUGCCACAGAUGAAGACAGCGCCACCUAGAGUUUGAAAGAGAGUAGUAAGAUGAGGACGGCGAUUCUCGUUUGGAUUUCUCUUCACCCCUAACCCCCCCAUGAAUCCUCUCCACCAUUCAUAUGCAAUUCCUCUGCUGUCGACAUGACAGAUUACCAGUUGGGGAGGCUGCAGCAAUACUGACUCCUAAUGGCUACUCUCGUUAUUUGCAAUAAGUAAACGAAUGAACAGACUCACGCAUACGUCCGUCAGAACUCCAACAACGAGCCUACAUUCUGACAUCCUGACAAAAUAAUCGAGCUUCCUUCUUGACAUUUGAAAUCGAAAUAAAAGUGUCAGAGAAAGUG
RNA transcript from Erpetoichthys calabaricus (reedfish), 8842 nucleotides. It is a transcript of the gene named zinc finger protein 385A, with no coding region annotated. The record is from RefSeq and is a predicted model, not a curated record. Lineage: Eukaryota; Metazoa; Chordata; Cladistia; Polypteriformes; Polypteridae. The transcript is spliced from 9 exons.